AGCGAACGCUGGCGGCAGGCUUAACACAUGCAAGUCGAGCGGGCACUUUCGGGUGUCAGAGGCGGACGGGUGAGGAACGCGUGGGAACGUGCUCGCUGGGUAGGACUAACUCAGGGAAACGUGAGCUAAUACCGGAUACGCACGGUGGGGGAAAGGCUUGCUGCCGGAGGAUCGGCCCGCGUCUGAUUAGCUAGUUGGUGAGGUAACGGCUCACCAAGGCGACGAUCAGUAGCUGGUCUGAGAGGAUGAUCAGCCACACUGGGACUGAGACACGGCCCAGACUCCUACGGGAGGCAGCAGUGGGGAAUAUUGGACAAUGGGCGCAAGCCUGAUCCAGCCAUGCCGCGUGAGUGAUGAAGGCCUUAGGGUUGUAAAGCUCUUUUAUCCGGGACGAUAAUGACGGUACCGGAGGAAUAAGCCCCGGCUAACUUCGUG
RNAcentral lists this ribosomal RNA (435 nucleotides) under uncultured bacterium. RNAcentral's name for it is "partial 16S ribosomal RNA". It matches the Rfam family "Bacterial small subunit ribosomal RNA", at positions 30 to 507 of the family's 1533-position model. The record is from RNAcentral.